UAGACUUUUCAUCAUCGGUUUCAUGGGAGGUGUUACAACUGAAGUGAACCUGCAGGCUAUGCUUGCCCGAAGAUUGACCAUACAAGGUUGGAUGGAUAUUUGUGAUUUCAGUAUUGCCAUCUUAUGUCGAUGCUUGUUGUUUGCUUCAUUAUUUUACAUGAUUGUGCUAUUUGUAAAUGUCGUCGCUAAUUUACCACUUGAUUGAAUUGCCAUGAUUUUGUGCAGCUGCUGGACUGCGGAACAGAAGCCUCGCUAACAAAGCCCAGAUCGUGAGCGAGGUGGAGAAGAAUGUGUGGCCUGCCGUCGUGUCGGGCAAGGUGAAGCCGGUGAUUUACAAGACAUUCCCGCUAUCUGAAGCAGCUGAAUCUCACAAGCUGAUGGAGACGAGCUCCCACAUUGGCAAGAUACUGUUGAUUCCAUGAUUGGGUAUGGUGUGUUAUGGUGUGAACUAUCUGAAGCCGCUGUGAGCACUGUUUCCUGCAGUAAACUAUGCAAGGAAAUGUCCUUUUAUAUUGUAAGAUAAACUGGAUCUCGAAGUGCUGAUGAAAUUGGAUAUGUAUCUUGACGACAACCAGUUACAAUAAAAUGUUGGAAGUUGGAAGUCUUGUUCAUUCAUCUUAUGAGAGUGUCACUGAUGUUGAUAUUUUUCUCUAUAAAUUUGAUCAAACUUCACUAGAUUUGACUUUUGAGUUGAAAAAUAAGUUUAUACGCACCCGAAACGCUGACGUAUGGUUCGGUUCAUCGUCUCUGGGGCCGAAUGAGCCGAAAGAGAAGUGGGGUAGCCAGCGGGGACCACGCAGCUAGCCGCCGCCGGCGGGAACUUUCCUCCCGUCUGUCGACCUCAUGGGGGAUAUGAGACAUGAGCAACCCACUCGCGGCCGAGCUGAGCAGGCAGUGAGAGCGACGGGGGAGAUCGCGAGCCCCGGCGGGCCGGAGGUGCUGGAGGAGAGCGAGGUGGAGGACCUCCCGGCGCCGGGGGACGGCGAGGUGCUCCUCAGGGUGGCCGCCGCCGGCGUCAACCGCACCGACACGGUCCAGCGGCAGGGCGGGUACCCCCCCGCCGCCCGGCGCCUCGCCGUACCCGGGGGUCGAGUGCUCCGGCUCCAUCCUCGCCCUCGGGGCCAACGUCCACCCGCGCUGGGCCGUCGGCGACCAGGUAAUAGUUUAGUUCACCGCCUCCUCUGUCCCUGCGCACCCUUUGCUGUCGCCGUGCUGUGAACCUUUGCAUCGCGUGCAGGUGUGCGCGCUGCUUAACGGCGGCGGGUACGCGGAGAAGGUGGUGGUGCCGGCGGGGCAGCUUCUCCCGGUGCCGGAGGGGGUGUCGCUGACGGACGCCGCCGGCUUGCCCGAGGUGGCCUGCACCGUCUGGUCCACCGUCUUCAUGAGCAGCCACCUCUCCCCCGGCGAAUCCUUCCUUGUAAGAAAUUCUCUCUUGCUGGUUUGUUGGGAUUGCAGACCGAUGAAUCUGCCUCAGUCAUCACCACAUAUGAUUCCUACUACUAGGAGCUGAGCAUUUUAUUCAGUCACAACUCACAACAAAUUGGCAUGCUCUGACUAACUGAAAAACCACAAAGUACUGAAUGAUGCCAACUCGAAUGGAGUGUGAAAUGAUUUAGUAGUCACUUGUACGCAGAAGUAGGUGCAUAAUUGGUGUUGUGGGAAUUGAACUGGAACUAAAUUUUCAUGCCUAUGUUUUUUGUAUCUCCCAUUGUAUGCAGAUCCACGGUGGAUCAAGCGGAAUCGGUACAUUUGCUAUACAGAUGGCAAAGCACCUCGGAAUCAAGGUUUUUGUUACUGCAGGUAUGUUGCUGGGUACGGAUGUAUCUAACACUAAAACGUGUCUAGACACAUCCGUAUCUAGACUAUCUAAGGCAACUAAUUCGGGGCGGAGGGAGUACUAAAAAGUUUUCUGAAAGGGCAAGUAACUCUGUUAUGCUCCUCCAGGAAGCCAAGAGAAACUAGAUGCUUGUGCAGGUUUGGGUGCGGAUGUAUGCAUAAACUACAAAACCGAAGACUUUGCAGCAUGUAUCAAAGAAGAAACUAAUGGAAAUGGUAUUAUCCUGCCAUCCUCUUGUAAUGCUUGAUGCCCUGUGCAAAAAUAAAACAAAAUGUUUUGGCUUUCCCAAGUUAUGCUUGGCAAGUUAAUAUACAUGCAUUCUGACCGUAAUAUGGGGAAUAUCUCUACCAGGAGGUGAUGUCAUUCUGGACAACGUCGGCGGAUCAUAUCUCCAGCGCAAUCUGGACAGCUUAGCAGUUGAUGGUAGGCUUUUCAUCAUUGGUUUCAUGGGAGGCAGCGUGACUGAAGUGAACCUGCAGGCGAUGCUUGCCCGAAGAUUGACCAUACAAGGUUGCAUUGAUGCACACGAUUUCUCGGCUUCUCGUUCUGCCAUGUUUUUUGCCUGAUAACAGAUCUUAUGUCGAUGCUUUUUUCUUGUUUUAUCUGAUCGACAAUUCCUAGAUGUCGUCGCUAAUUUUAGUAAUGGAUUGUAUUGCUAUGAUUAUGUGCAGU
This 2509-nucleotide long non-coding RNA is filed under the name Triticum aestivum (bread wheat). RNAcentral describes it as "long non-coding RNA (TAES_LNC010888)". Lineage: Eukaryota; Viridiplantae; Streptophyta; Magnoliopsida; Poales; Poaceae. The record is from RNAcentral.